UUGAGCUAGAGUUAGAAACCCUAGCCCCCAAAAGUAACUACUCACAACCCAUAUUCAUAAACAUCAAAAUUACAAAAUUUAAAUAGCAAAGAGUAGAGAAGUGUAGGAGAAAACAAGGCUAAUCACAAAUAGCUAUGAAGCUAGCAUGACUAGCCUUGAAUUACAAUCCCACAAAAUAGCCAAAUCUUAAAUCUUGUAGAAAUUGAGCCCCUUGAUAGAUCCUUGAAGCUUUGUGUAAGUAGUCCUUAAAAUCUCAAAAGAAAAUAUCAAGAAAAGAUGAAGAAUGGAGGGGAAGGAGGGGGAGGGCAGCAGCCCUCCCGGUUUGGCUCUACGGUGCUGCCCUCCCGGUUUGGCUCUACGGCGCUGCUGGUGAAGAGAGAGGAUAGGGAAUGGGUUAUCUCCAAUUAAUGGGUGAGAAGUGGGUGAUUAAUGGAUGGCUGUGAUUCAAGGGAAAAGUUGAUGGCCUGCAGCUAGGAUUGACUGAAGAGAAAAGCACGUUAUGGGGCUAUUGUUUUCGUGAGUAGGAGGAAAGGAUGGGUCAGACAUGUGGUCAGCGUGAAAAGAAACAAAUAAAUGCAGUUGCUCCUCAUUGC
This 593-nucleotide long non-coding RNA is filed under the name Rosa chinensis. Its description in RNAcentral is "sRNA RchiOBHm_Chr6g0307141". Lineage: Eukaryota; Viridiplantae; Streptophyta; Magnoliopsida; Rosales; Rosaceae. The record is from RNAcentral.